GGCCCCAUCGUCUAGGGGUUAGGACGCGAGCCUCUCACGCUCGAAACCCGGGUUCGAUUCCCGGUGGGGUCACCA
This 75-nucleotide transfer RNA is filed under the name Chloroflexota bacterium. Its description in RNAcentral is "Chloroflexi bacterium tRNA-Glu". It matches the Rfam family "tRNA". Rfam says of the family: Transfer RNA (tRNA) molecules are approximately 80 nucleotides in length. Their secondary structure includes four short double-helical elements and three loops (D, anti-codon, and T loops). RNAcentral also lists the same sequence under 1 other name. Lineage: Bacteria; Bacillati; Chloroflexota. The record is from RNAcentral.